This 509-nucleotide ribosomal RNA is filed under the name uncultured bacterium. RNAcentral's name for it is "bacterial SSU rRNA". It matches the Rfam family "Bacterial small subunit ribosomal RNA", at positions 1 to 517 of the family's 1533-position model. The record is from RNAcentral.
UAGAGUUUGAUCCUGGCUCAGGAUGAACGCUAGCGGCAGGCUUAACACAUGCAAGUCGAGGGGUAUAGUUCUUCGGAAUUAGAGACCGGCGCACGGGUGCGUAACGCGUAUGCAAUCUACCUUUUACAGAGGGAUAGCCCAGAGAAAUUUGGAUUAAUACCUCAUAGUAUUGCAGGAUGGCAUCAUCCAGUAAUUAAAGUCACAACGGUAAAAGAUGAGCAUGCGUCCCAUUAGCUAGUUGGUAAGGUAACGGCUUACCAAGGCUACGAUGGGUAGGGGUCCUGAGAGGGAGAUCCCCCACACUGGUACUGAGACACGGACCAGACUCCUACGGGAGGCAGCAGUGAGGAAUAUUGGACAAUGGGCGCAAGCCUGAUCCAGCCAUGCCGCGUGCAGGAUGACGGUCCUAUGGAUUGUAAACUGCUUUUAUACAGGAAGAAACACCUCUACGAGUAGAGACUUGACGGUACUGUAAGAAUAAGGAUCGGCUAACUCCGUGCCAGCAGCCG